AGAUGGAUAGUUCAGUGGUAGAACAGUAGCUUUUCAAGCUGUAUAUGUGGGUUCGAAUCCCGCUCCAUCUU
This 71-nucleotide transfer RNA is filed under the name Caudoviricetes sp. RNAcentral describes it as "tRNA-Glu". It matches the Rfam family "tRNA". From Rfam's summary of the family: Transfer RNA (tRNA) molecules are approximately 80 nucleotides in length. Their secondary structure includes four short double-helical elements and three loops (D, anti-codon, and T loops). The record is from RNAcentral. Lineage: Duplodnaviria; Heunggongvirae; Uroviricota; Caudoviricetes.